GACGAACGCUGGCGGCGUGCUUAACACAUGCAAGUCGAACGGAAAGGCCCUGCUUUUGUGGGGUGCUCGAGUGGCGAACGGGUGAGUAACACGUGAGUAACCUGCCCUUGACUUUGGGAUAACUUCAGGAAACUGGGGCUAAUACCGGAUAGGAGCUCCUGCUGCAUGGUGGGGGUUGGAAAGUUUCGGCGGUAGGGGAUGGACGCGCGGCUUAUCAGCUUGUUGGUGGGGGAGUGGCUUACCCACGCUUUGACGGGUAGCCGGCCUGAGAGGGUGGACGGCCACAUUGGGACUGCGAUACGGCGCAGACUCCUACGGGAGGCAACAGUGGGGAAUAUUGCACAAUGGGCGGAAGCCUGAUGCAGCAGCGCCGCGUGCGGAAUGACGGCCUUCGGGGUGUAAACCGCAUUCGCCUGUGACGAAGCGUGAGUGACGGUAAUGGGUAAAGAAGCACCGGCUAACUACGUG
This 468-nucleotide ribosomal RNA is filed under the name uncultured bacterium. RNAcentral describes it as "partial 16S ribosomal RNA". It matches the Rfam family "Bacterial small subunit ribosomal RNA", at positions 28 to 507 of the family's 1533-position model. The record is from RNAcentral.